This is a long non-coding RNA of Dromaius novaehollandiae (emu), 391 nucleotides long. RefSeq lists it as uncharacterized. NCBI's taxonomy places the organism in Eukaryota, Metazoa, Chordata, Aves, Casuariiformes, Dromaiidae. The transcript is spliced from 4 exons. The record is from RefSeq and is a predicted model, not a curated record.
UAAGGCUGGCUUUGGAAUGAAGUAGGAAGAAACAUGAAAGUGAAAGAAAAAGUUAUUGAAGAUGCUGCUCUGGGGCAAGUUUGAGAGGUCUUGACUUCAGUUUCAAGAAUGUUCAGAGGAAAACUCUGCCAUGUGUCCAGCACACGCGCCUCAGGAAGCGCCUGAAGAGGACUUAGGGGCUGGGCCUUUGCAUGUCUCCCAAGCCCAUGACAAGAUGACCUCUUCUCACGAUCCAUCAUUACAUGAUAACAUGGACCACGUCUCAGGGAGCAUAAGAACAUAUGUCCCAGUCAAGACAAGUGGACUGUGUAGCCCUUAAAGAAAGCAAGAAUAUCAUUGCUGGAAGAUUGAUACAGCUGAGACCCAAAGCAAGUUGGAAGAAAGCCACCAG